Molecule: ribosomal RNA, 253 nt
Filed under: uncultured bacterium
Lineage: Bacteria
Description: partial 16S ribosomal RNA
Rfam family: Bacterial small subunit ribosomal RNA
Source: RNAcentral
UACGUAGGGGGCGAGCGUUGUCCGGAUUUAUUGGGCGUAAAGAGCUCGUAGGCGGCUGUUCGAGUCGGGUGUGAAAUCCUGAGGCUUAACCUUGGGUCUGCAUUCGAUACUGGGCGGCUUGAGUCUGGUAGGGGGAUCUGGAAUUCCUGGUGUAGCGGUGGAAUGCGUAGAUAUCUGGAGGAAUACCGGUGGCGAAGGCGGCAUCCUGGACCAUUACUGACGCUGAGGCGCGAAAGCUAGGGGAGCAAACGGG